UUGACGGGACCCGCACAGCGUGGAUGAUGUGGUUAAUUCGAUGCAACGCGAAAACCUUACCCACCUUGACAUGUACGGAAUCCUUUAGAGAUAGAGGAGUGCUCGAAAGAGAGCCGUAACACAGGUGCUGCAUGGCUGUCGUCAGCUCGUGUCGUGAGAUGUUGGGUUAAGUCCCGCAACGAGCGCAACCCUUGUCAUUAGUUGCUACGAAAGGGCACUCUAAUGAGACUGCCGGUGACAAACCGGAGGAAGGUGGGGAUGACGUCAAGUCCUCAUGGCCCUUAUAGGUGGGGCUACACACGUCAUACAAUGGCUGGUACAAAGGGUUGCCAACCCGCGAGGGGGAGCCAAUCCCAUAAAGCCAGUCGUAGUCCGGAUCGCAGUCUGCAACUCGACUGCGUGAAGUCGGAAUCGCUAGUAAUCGUGGAUCAGCAUGUCACGGUCGAAUACGUUCCCGGGUCUU
RNAcentral lists this ribosomal RNA (463 nucleotides) under uncultured Comamonas sp. Its description in RNAcentral is "bacterial SSU rRNA". It matches the Rfam family "Bacterial small subunit ribosomal RNA", at positions 910 to 1382 of the family's 1533-position model. Lineage: Bacteria; Pseudomonadati; Pseudomonadota; Betaproteobacteria; Burkholderiales; Comamonadaceae. The record is from RNAcentral.